AUGUCCAUCGUCAAGCGUGCUUUGGGCUUCGGCGGCGGCUACGGCCAGAGCAAGCCGGUGAUUAGCUACCACACCCAGAGCCCCGACUCCGUGACCACCGUCUUGACGGAGAUCAGCCACAUGAGCCUCAACGAGAAGCAGGCGGGGUACAACGGCGCCGCCGUGCAGAAGACGGCCUCCCUCACGGAGCUGUGCUCUGAGGAUGCCGAGGUGCAGAAGCACGGCUACGGGCAGCAGGCGUACGGCAGCGACGUCGGAGGGUUCGACGCCCUCGUCCGUGACAACGCCGCGCAGAAGCACGGCGGCUUCGGCGAGCAGAAGGCGGCGUCGUACCAGCAUGAGAGCGGCGCCGGAGGGUACAGCGCUCACCACCACGAAAGCUCCGUGCAGAAGCACGGUGGCUACGGUGCGCAGAAGGCGUCGUCGUACCAGCAUGGAGGCUACGACGCCGUCAGCCACGACAGCGCGGGCGCCACGCAGAAGCAUGGCUACGGUGAGCAGAAGGCUUACCAUCAUGGGGCUGAAGCCCACCAUGACAGCUCGGCGCAGAAGCACGGCUACGGCGAGCAGAAGGCGUACGGUGGUCACCACCAGGACAGCAAGGUCCAGAAGAGCGGCUACGGCGGCGAGCAUACGGCGUAUCACCAGGACGGCAAGGUCCAGAAGCAUGGCUACGGGGAGAAGGCGCACGGCUACGGCGAGCAGAAGGCUUACGACGGCAAGGUCCAGAAGCACGGCUACGGCGAGCAGAACGCGUACGACAGCAAGGUCCAGAAGCAUGGCUACGGCGAGCACAAGGCGUACGACAGCGCGGUCCAGAAGCACGGCUACGGCGAGCAGAAGCCGUACGAGCAUGGGAGCGCCGCCUCCGCCCUCGACCACGACAGCUACGGCGCCGUGAAGAAGCACGGCUAUGGCGGCGCCGGCGAGCAGAAGGCGUACGGCGCUGCAGCGGGAGGGUACGACGCCGUCCACCACGACAGCUCAGUGCAGAACUACGGCUACGGCGAGCAGAAGGCGUCGUACCAGCACGGGAGCGACGCCGGAGGGUACGGCGGUGCCCACCACGGCAGCGCGACGCAGAAGCACGGCUACGGCGGUGGGCAGAAGGCUUACGGGCACGGUGCUGAUGCCGGAGGGUACGACGCUGCUUUCCAGUACGGCGGCGCGAAGCAGACGAAGCACGGCUAUGGCGGCGGGCAGAUGGGUUACCAGCAUGGCGCUGAAGCCGGAGGGUACAACGCUUCCUACCACGGCGGCGCAGCGCAGAAGCACGGCGCCUAUGGCGGGCAGAAGGCGUCGUACCAGCAAGGGUGCGCCGGCGGCGUCGGAGGGUACGACUCGCUUGUCCAGAACAAGCAUGGGAGCUACGUCGGCGGGUACAAUGCGUACCCGUCGCAGCAAGGGUGCGGCGGCGGUGACGUGGCAGGGUAUGAUGCUCUUGUCCAACGCCGGCAGAUGCAGAAGCAGCAGCAGUACAACCAGGCCGGAUACGAGAGCGACGAAGAGAGCGAGGAGGAUAGCGACUGCGAAGAGGAGGAGGUGCUGGGCGGCGGAUACGGCAUGCAUAAAUACGCCGCCGGCAGCACCAUGCCCGGCGGCACGCAGUACUACUCCGCGUACGAGCGCCGCCAGCAGCUCGGCGGCGGGAGCCAGUACGAGGCGUACGAGAGCUCCACCACCCAGGGGUACUCCGGCGGCGGCGGUGGCUACGGCGGCGGGUGGGCGCAGCCCAAGAAGCACAGCUACUACUGA
Molecule: ribosomal RNA, 1755 nt
Filed under: Triticum aestivum (bread wheat)
Lineage: Eukaryota; Viridiplantae; Streptophyta; Magnoliopsida; Poales; Poaceae
Description: partial small subunit ribosomal RNA
Source: RNAcentral